This is a non-coding RNA of Vicia faba (fava bean), 252 nucleotides long. NCBI's taxonomy places the organism in Eukaryota, Viridiplantae, Streptophyta, Magnoliopsida, Fabales, Fabaceae. The record is from the annotation of a GenBank genome assembly.
AUGGAAAAUAAACUUCCAGAAUCUCUUGGUCACAGUCCUGGUACUGUUAUUGCGUUUGCAGCAGGCAAUACAAUAUUCUGCCUAUCAUCAACAUUCGAUUCAUACCAUCUAAUUCAAAGAGAAGCAAGUGUUCAAGCAACUUCAAAGUUAGGCACAAAACAAAUGAAAUGCAUUUCUAUUCACAAAACAGUUCAUGACAGGCUAAUAUUCAUCCAAGCAACAAUACACAUGCCUUCAAUUCACCAAAUUUAA